GUGCAGUCGAGCGGUAGCAGGGAGAAAGCUUGCUUUCUCCGCUGACGAGCGGCGGACGGGUGAGUAAUGUCUGGGGAUCUGCCUGAUGGAGGGGGAUAACUACUGGAAACGGUAGCUAAUACCGCAUAACGUCGCAAGACCAAAGUGGGGGACCUUCGGGCCUCAUGCCAUCAGAUGAACCCAGAUGGGAUUAGCUAGUAGGUGGGGUAAUGGCUCACCUAGGCGACGAUCCCUAGCUGGUCUGAGAGGAUGACCAGCCACACUGGAACUGAGACACGGUCCAGACUCCUACGGGAGGCAGCAGUGGGGAAUAUUGCACAAUGGGCGCAAGCCUGAUGCAGCCAUGCCGCGUGUAUGAAGAAGGCCUUCGGGUUGUAAAGUACUUUCAGUAGGGAGGAAGGUGUGAACGUUAAUAGCGCUCACAAUUGACGUUACCUACAGAAGAAGCACCGGCUAACUCCGUGCCAGCAGCCGCGGUAAUACGGAGGGUGCAAGCGUUAAUCGGAAUUACUGGGCGUAAAGCGCACGCAGGCGGUUUGUUAAGUUGGAUGUGAAAUCCCCGGGCUUAACCUGGGAACUGCAUCCAAGACUGGCAAGCUAGAGUCUCGUAGAGGGAGGUAGAAUUCCAGGUGUAGCGGUGAAAUGCGUAGAGAUCUGGAGGAAUACCGGUGGCGAAGGCGGCCUCCUGGACGAAGACUGACGCUCAGGUGCGAAAGCGUGGGGGAGCAAACAGGAUUAGAUACCCUGGUAGUCCACGCUGUAAACGAUGUCGAUUUGGAGGUUGUGCCCUUGAGGCGUGGCUUCCGAAGCUAACGCGUUAAAUCGACCGCCGUGGGGGAGUACGGCCGCAAGGUUAAAACUCAAAUGAAUUUGACGGGGGCCCG
This 884-nucleotide ribosomal RNA is filed under the name Edwardsiella tarda. RNAcentral describes it as "bacterial SSU rRNA". It matches the Rfam family "Bacterial small subunit ribosomal RNA", at positions 55 to 923 of the family's 1533-position model. Lineage: Bacteria; Pseudomonadati; Pseudomonadota; Gammaproteobacteria; Enterobacterales; Hafniaceae. The record is from RNAcentral.